RNAcentral lists this ribosomal RNA (510 nucleotides) under Squalius cephalus (European chub). RNAcentral describes it as "partial 16S ribosomal RNA". It matches the Rfam family "Bacterial large subunit ribosomal RNA", at positions 1857 to 2565 of the family's 2925-position model. Lineage: Eukaryota; Metazoa; Chordata; Actinopteri; Cypriniformes; Leuciscidae. The record is from RNAcentral.
GCCUGCCCAGUGACUACGGGUUCAACGGCCGCGGUAUUUUGACCGUGCAAAGGUAGCGCAAUCACUUGUCUCUUAAAUAGAGACCUGUAUGAAUGGCUAGACGAGGGCUUAACUGUCUCCCCCUUCCAGUCAGUGAAAUUGAUCUAUCCGUGCAGAAGCGGGUAUAAUUAUACAAGACGAGAAGACCCUUUGGAGCUUAAGGUACAAAAUUCAACCACGUUAAACGACUCUACAUGAAGCAAGAACUUAGUGGCGAAUGAAAUUUUACCUUCGGUUGGGGCGACCACGGAGGAGAAAGAAGCCUCCGAGUGGACUGGGCUAAUCCCCAAAGCCAAGAGAUACAUCUAUAAGCCGCAGAACAUCUGACCAAGAAUGAUCCGACUGAUAAAGCCGAUCAACGAACCAAGUUACCCUAGGGAUAACAGCGCAAUCCUCUCCCAGAGUCCAUAUCGACGAGGGGGUUUACGACCUCGAUGUUGGAUCAGGACAUCCUAAUGGUGCAGCCGCUAU